RNAcentral lists this ribosomal RNA (585 nucleotides) under uncultured Eudoraea sp. RNAcentral describes it as "bacterial SSU rRNA". It matches the Rfam family "Bacterial small subunit ribosomal RNA", at positions 336 to 918 of the family's 1533-position model. The record is from RNAcentral. Lineage: Bacteria; Pseudomonadati; Bacteroidota; Flavobacteriia; Flavobacteriales; Flavobacteriaceae.
UUCCUACGGGAGGCAGCAGUGAGGAAUAUUGGACAAUGGGCUAAAGCCUGAUCCAGCCAUGCCGCGUGCAGGAAGACGGCCCUAUGGGUUGUAAACUGCUUUUAUACGGGAAGAAUAAGGGACACGUGUGUCCUGGUGACGGUACCGUAAGAAUAAGGACCGGCUAACUCCGUGCCAGCAGCCGCGGUAAUACGGAGGGUCCGAGCGUUAUCCGGAAUUAUUGGGUUUAAAGGGUCCGCAGGCGGGCAAUUAAGUCAGGGGUGAAAUGGUGCGGCUCAACCGUAGCACUGCCCUUGAUACUGGUUGUCUUGAGUCAUAGUGAAGUGGCCGGAAUAUGUAGUGUAGCGGUGAAAUGCAUAGAUAUUACAUAGAAGACCGAUUGCGAAGGCAGGUCACUAACUAUCGACUGACGCUGAUGGACGAAAGCGUGGGGAGCGAACGGGAUUAGAUACCCCGGUAGUCCACGCCGUAAACGAUGGAUACUAGCUGUCCGGCACCUUGAGUGCUGGGCGGCCAAGCGAAAGUGAUAAGUAUCCCACCUGGGGAGUACGUUCGCAAGAAUGAAACUCAAAUGAAUUGACGGAA